This 405-nucleotide long non-coding RNA is filed under the name Coffea arabica (coffee). RNAcentral's name for it is "long non-coding RNA (CARA_LNC005029)". Lineage: Eukaryota; Viridiplantae; Streptophyta; Magnoliopsida; Gentianales; Rubiaceae. The record is from RNAcentral.
CUAGCUUAGAAGAUAUUUAAGCCAAUGGUCAAAGUAUGCUUUUUGUCCACCAAUCAAAUUUGAGCAUAAGAAACGCCUAGAAGCUCUUAGAUUAUUAGUACCGUUACUUUGCUAUUCCUCACACUAUGGCCCCAACAACUUCUAAUCUUUGCAAUUAACUCUAGCACCUUGUAUAAUAAUAACACUUAGCACAAAAAUCACGUAAUCACCAAAAUUUUAUCGCACUAGCGGGUCCCACGUCUAUAAUGCGUUUCAAAUUUAACAUACACUAACUUAUACUAGAAAAAUGAUUUUAAAACUGUACUUGCUUAUAAAAAUGCAUAGAAACAUUAAUAUUUAAAGGCAAGUAUAAAAAUGUAGGCAAAAAUAAAAUAAUGCCUAGAAAAUGUGAAAAUUUUUGGAUUC